This 519-nucleotide unclassified non-coding RNA is filed under the name uncultured Glomus. Its description in RNAcentral is "SSU rRNA". It matches the Rfam family "Eukaryotic small subunit ribosomal RNA", at positions 569 to 1092 of the family's 1831-position model. Lineage: Eukaryota; Fungi; Glomeromycota; Glomeromycetes; Glomerales; Glomeraceae. The record is from RNAcentral.
AGCAGCCGCGGUAAUUCCAGCUCCAAUAGCGUAUAUUAAAGUUGUUGCAGUUAAAAAGCUCGUAGUUGAAUUUCGGGAUCAAUACGUCGGUCGUGCUUAGGUACGUACUGGCGUAAUUGAUUUCUCCCUUCUGACGAACCAUGAUGUCAUUAACUUGGUGUCAUGGGAAAUCAGGACUGUUACUUUGAAAAAUUAGAGUGUUUAAAGCAGGCUCACGCUUGAAUACAUUAGCAUGGAAUAAUGAAAUAGGACGUUCGAUCCUAUUUUGUUGGUUUUUAGGAUCAACGUAAUGAUUAAUAGGGAUAGUUGGGGGCAUUAGUAUUCAAUUGUCAGAGGUGAAAUUCUUGGAUUUAUUGAAGACUAACUACUGCGAAAGCAUUUGCCAAGGAUGUUUUCAUUAAUCAAGAACGAAAGUUAGGGGAUCGAAGACGAUCAGAUACCGUCGUAGUCUUAACCAUAAACUAUGCCGACUAGGGAUCGGAUGAUGUUAAUUUUUAAUGACUCAUUCGGCGCCUUACG